Molecule: unclassified non-coding RNA, 546 nt
Filed under: Hevea brasiliensis (rubber tree)
Lineage: Eukaryota; Viridiplantae; Streptophyta; Magnoliopsida; Malpighiales; Euphorbiaceae
Source: RNAcentral
GUUCGAGAUUCAACGAUUAGCAAACAAAAAUUUUUAUUUUUUUCAUUUUGAGGAAACCUUUCUCUCAUAGGAAAAAAAAAGAGGGGGAAAGAUGAGGCUAAAAAAGAGUUGCGUUUUUAGGUUUUGAGGGAUAUAUUGUUUGGGAAUUUAGAAAUUCUUACCUUGUGAUUUUUCUACCCAAAAUUUCUUAUUUAAUUUCAAUUCAUUUUAUCCUUUUUUCUUCUAAUAUGUAAAGAGAAAUAAUAUUGCUUUUGCUAUCUUUGUAGAGCACUGGGUUAAUUUGCAAUUAAAGUUAAUUUUUGUGAAAAAAUUGAAUUUUGAGCUUAAUUGAAUAUUGGCCCAAAAUUUUAGUUGCCAAUUUGACCUAUAACUUCUAUGCAAAAUGCCACUGUUUGUUGGUUCUUAGGGAUCAAGUGAAUUGCACUUUUUUUUUUUAAAUCAACAAGUUAGACACAUGUUUGCAUUCUGCCUUAAUAUCAUGUCAACAUGGAUGCACACCCUGGACCUAAUUUGAUCUUUAUUUCUUCACAAAAGGCGCCACUGUUU